ACGACCUUACUUGAACAGGAUCUGUUCUAUAGGCUCGUACCUCUGUGUCCUUGAGACCCAAGGAGACAGGAACCGAAGUCUGGUGGAUGAGCCAUGGCCGUGUGAUCAGAGCGUGAUUAACGGUUCUGAUGAGUCCUCUUGGAUCCCUCAGAACUGUAGAGGAUCGUUCUCAGCCGGGUAUUCUGGCUGGGGUGAUCACCCGGCGGUCUGACAGACU
Small nucleolar RNA from Rhodamnia argentea, 217 nucleotides. RefSeq annotates it as small nucleolar RNA U3. NCBI's taxonomy places the organism in Eukaryota, Viridiplantae, Streptophyta, Magnoliopsida, Myrtales, Myrtaceae. The transcript has a single exon. The record is from RefSeq and is a predicted model, not a curated record.